This 246-nucleotide ribosomal RNA is filed under the name uncultured bacterium. RNAcentral describes it as "partial 16S ribosomal RNA". It matches the Rfam family "Bacterial small subunit ribosomal RNA", at positions 524 to 776 of the family's 1533-position model. The record is from RNAcentral.
UACGGGAGGGGCAAGCAUUAUUCGUAAGUACUGGGCGUAAAGGGUUUUUAGGCUGCUUUUUUAUAUAAUUACUAAAAUUUUAAAAAAAGCUUUAAGUGUUUUAUUUUAAAAGAGUAACAGAAAGAGGUUAGGAGUAUUUCUAAUGUAAGGGUAAUAUCUAGUGAGAUUAGUAAAGACUUUCAGAGGCGAAGGCGCCUAACUAUAAGUUACUAACGCUGACGAACGAAAGCAGGGGGAGCAAACGGG